Molecule: ribosomal RNA, 242 nt
Filed under: uncultured bacterium
Lineage: Bacteria
Description: partial 16S ribosomal RNA
Rfam family: Bacterial small subunit ribosomal RNA
Source: RNAcentral
CCGGCACGGGUGAGUAACACGUAUGCAAUCCACCUGUAACAGGGGGAGUAACCCGGAGAAAUCCGGACUAAUACCCCAUAAUAUGGGCGCUCCGCAUGGAGAGCCCAUUAAAGAGAGCAAUUUUGGUUACAGACGAGCAUGCGCUCCAUUAGCCAGUUGGCGGGGUAACGGCCCACCAAGCCGACGAUGGAUAGGGGUUCUGAGAGGAAGGUCCCCCACAUUGGUACUGAGACACGGACCAA